AGCGAACGCUGGCGGCAGGCUUAACACAUGCAAGUCGAGCGGGCGUAGCAAUACGUCAGCGGCAGACGGGUGAGUAACGCGUGGGAACAUACCUCUUGGUUCGGAACAACACAGGGAAACUUGUGCUAAUACCGGAUAAGCCCUUACGGGGAAAGAUUUAUCGCCGAGAGAUUGGCCCGCGUCUGAUUAGCUAGUUGGUGGGGUAAAGGCCUACCAAGGCGACGAUCAGUAGCNGGUCUGAGAGGAUGAUCAGCCACAUUGGGACUGAGACACGGCCCAAACUCCUACGGGAGGCAGCAGUGGGGAAUAUUGGACAAUGGGCGCAAGCCUGAUCCAGCCAUGCCGCGUGAGUGAUGAAGGCCCUAGGGUUGUAAAGCUCUUUUGUACGGGAAGAUAAUGACGGUACCGUAAGAAUAAGCCCCGGCUAACUUCGUGCCAGCCGCCGCGGUAAC
RNAcentral lists this ribosomal RNA (452 nucleotides) under uncultured bacterium. RNAcentral describes it as "bacterial SSU rRNA". It matches the Rfam family "Bacterial small subunit ribosomal RNA", at positions 29 to 524 of the family's 1533-position model. The record is from RNAcentral.